GUUGUCGUAGUGACAUAUGGUUUGUGGAUGCUACUUGUUUGAUCCCGACCAUUGCUUCUUUCUCACUAGGCUAUUCCUGGCAGGACUAUCGUGAAAGACAAAUGGCAGCUAUAUCACAUGAUUCAGUAUGGCAAGUGCAGUUUACUGGCUUCCGAUUCAAGAUUUGGAUUUUGGAACAAAGAAGUUAGAGUAUCCUGUAGAUAGUAUCCUUGUGUUCAAGCAGAAGAAAAAUGCAAUUUCUGUUGGUUGAAUUAUAACUUCCAAAUUUACACAUCGUGAAAUACAAAGAUGGAUGGCUGCUCUUUAUGAUUGAGUUCGUGCAAAAGAUCAAACAUGGCAGCUGGGUGGCUUCAUUAUAUGGAUGAUCCUUGACCCAUGUGAUCAUUAUAAGAUUUUGAUGGUAAUCAACUUCUCAAUGAUGAAGACAGUGAUCUGGAUGCUUGCAACAAAAAAAGUCUGGAGGAGCAUCUAAAUAAGCCAAAGUUACUAUAGCGGUGCAAGCCAUGCAGGGUCUUCUAAUGGUCCUGCUCGUGUGGAAUAAGAAUGUGGAGAAGCCUCUAAUGGCAAUGAAGGAACUUCCGGUGAUGAAGAAACUGCAGCAUGACCAGUCAUGCAAUCUUACAAAAUCAAAGACAGUCAAGCAACUCCUGAACUGAAUAAUUCUUUAGAUGAGGUUAGCUCAGCAGGUCUGAUCGGUGAGACGACGACGCAAUA
Long non-coding RNA from Lolium rigidum, 714 nucleotides. RefSeq lists it as uncharacterized. The record is from RefSeq and is a predicted model, not a curated record. NCBI's taxonomy places the organism in Eukaryota, Viridiplantae, Streptophyta, Magnoliopsida, Poales, Poaceae. The transcript has 4 exons.